GUGCCAGCAGCCGCGGUAAUACGGAAGGUCCGGGCGUUAUCCGGAUUUAUUGGGUUUAAAGGGAGCGUAGGCCGUCGUUUAAGCGUGUUGUGAAAUGCCGCGGCUCAACCGUGGCACUGCAGCGCGAACUGGAUGACUUGAGUGCGCGGGAGGUAGGCGGAAUUCGUGGUGUAGCGGUGAAAUGCUUAGAUAUCACGAAGAACCCCGAUUGCGAAGGCAGCUUACCGUAGCGUUACUGACGCUGAAGCUCGAAAGUGCGGGUAUCGAACAGGAUUAGAUACCCUGGUAGCCCGCACGGUAAACGAUGGAUGCCCGCUGUUCCGGCUUUUAGUUGGAGUGGCCAAGCGAAAGCGUUAAGCAUCCCACCUGGGGAGUACGCCGGCAACGGUGAAACUCAAAUGAAUUGACGG
RNAcentral lists this ribosomal RNA (410 nucleotides) under uncultured bacterium. Its description in RNAcentral is "bacterial SSU rRNA". It matches the Rfam family "Bacterial small subunit ribosomal RNA", at positions 505 to 916 of the family's 1533-position model. The record is from RNAcentral.